RNAcentral lists this ribosomal RNA (427 nucleotides) under uncultured bacterium. RNAcentral describes it as "partial 16S ribosomal RNA". It matches the Rfam family "Bacterial small subunit ribosomal RNA", at positions 355 to 774 of the family's 1533-position model. The record is from RNAcentral.
UGGGGAAUAUUGCACAAUGGGCGCAAGCCUGAUGCAGCCAUGCCGCGUGUAUGAAGAAGGCCUUCGGGUUGUAAAGUACUUUCAGCGAGGAGGAAGGCGUUGUGGUUAAUAACCGCAACGAUUGACGUUACUCGCAGAAGAAGCACCGGCUAACUCUGUGCCAGCAGCCGCGGUAAUACAGAGGGUGCAAGCGUUAAUCGGAAUUACUGGGCGUAAAGCGCGCGUAGGUGGUUUGUUAAGUUGGAUGUGAAAGCCCCGGGCUCAACCUGGGAACUGCAUCCGAAACUGGCAGGCUAGAGUCUUGUAGAGGGGGGUAGAAUUCCAGGUGUAGCGGUGAAAUGCGUAGAGAUCUGGAGGAAUACCGGUGGCGAAGGCGGCCCCCUGGACAAAGACUGACGCUCAGGUGCGAAAGCGUGGGGAGCAAACA